Molecule: long non-coding RNA, 317 nt
Organism: Oreochromis aureus
Lineage: Eukaryota; Metazoa; Chordata; Actinopteri; Cichliformes; Cichlidae
Exons: 3
Source: RefSeq, a predicted model, not a curated record
GAAGCAGGCGGCUGCCGGUCGGAGCGUGAGGUGAACUGAAUUUCAGGAUGAAAGCACGAUGGUAAUGUGGAGACUGCUCCAGGACAGAAACGACUGCAUUAUAUUGCUACCACAACUUCGGCUCUUCGCAAGCACCUGCACAGACACCAUGGUAACGCUAAGCUACCCAAGAACCCAGACUGAUGUUAAAGCUGAGCAAAUUCUGACCCCUGCCCAGCACUGUGAUGAAGUGAGCUAUCAUUUCUGGUGAAACCGCUGCUGAACUUCAACAGGUGAUCCAGGUGUUUUGUUUGUUUUUGUUUUUCUUUCCCCUUUCU